CAUAGUUAUGCAUAACGCGACCAAGCGCCAAAUUCGAAUUUUGGGUAUUAUUGCACCAUCUAACGGCCAAAGACUGUAUUUAUCUACAAAAAAAUUCUUGAACGCUACAAAUUUAUAGUAAGGACAUAAUUUUAAGUUUAAUUAAGGACAUAAUUAACGUCUGUUAGUGCACAUGCAAUUUUAAAUUACACUAGAGAACGCCGCAUUUUUAUCACACGCAUGCAUAAAACCGGCCUAAGAUUUUCCGUUUUUUGAGCGAUAUGUACAGGUUAUGUUUAUUUGUUACAUUUGUGUAUGAAUAAUAAUCGUUAAUAUUGAUUGAAAUAAAAUAAAAAAUAAAAGUGAUGAAUCGGACUGCUAUUAUACUGAAACGUGCAUAUGAAAUAAACUUAGAGGUAAGUUUUCUAUAAUAUAAUAUAGCUCUUUAAAUUUUACACCUAAUAUUUUUGUUGAUCAAGAAGACGUAGCUAGUUCAUCCGCGAUGGAUUUGAAUAAUUCUUUAGAGAAUCACAGUGCAAAUGAUUUAUAUCAGGUAAAUCCUGGUUUUAUUGAAGUGGAGCAUGAUCAGUUACUACCAUCUCAGCCAGUUUGCCUUCACACUCAUUAGUAGUAGCAAGCAAUGACGACCAGGAAGACGUCCAAAGUAUCAAUUCGCCAAAAAAUUUUACCGAACUCCUGCCUGCGAAAUUCCCAGAAAAACUCCCAGAAUAUGAUGAUAGUAAUAAUGCUGUGGAAACGAGUGUUAAACAAGAUGAGAGAUUCAUUUUAAAAACUUUGGAUGCAGAGCAAGGAGUUUCACUAGAAGAACACAUUGAAAUGGAAGAUGAAAUAUUGGAAAAGAAAUUCAAGAUCAACAACUUUAAGAUGAACAACUACUCAACAACUAAUACAGAGGGCUCUAAUUUCUGUUAUGCUAUGGAAAAUCCAAUAAAAAGAAAAAGGGUUAAAAACUCAAAUAAAUGUUUUUCCUUCAAACUUUGAGAAUUUCUAGUGCUAAGGUUAAUACUUGUCUAAAAUUAAAAAACAGAGUUGAAGGAGUAAAAGAUAUGAGAGAAGUUGUUAGCGGCGGGAAAAACAAAGUAUCAGAAGAUAGAGUCCUAGAAGUAAUCCGACACAUUGAUCAAUUUCCAAAAUACAAGUCACAUUAUUCUAGGGAACAAACAAGCUGCAUGUAUCUACGAUCGGAUACUACAUUAAACGUUAUGUACAAUCUGUAUCAGAGAGCCCAAUCUCAUUUUCAAAAUAUAAAGAGAUUUUUUUGAGUAAUUUUAAUCUUAAGAGAAAGCCACUAAAAAAAGACACUUGCAAUACUUGCCACAAACUGAAAGUUUUGAAAAAUACGACAAAUCUUGAAGAGCAAAAUAGGUAUAAGAUGGAAAAACAAAAUCAUUUAACUUUAGCUAGUGAGACGAGAAAUGCAAUGAACGCAGACAGAAAAAGGGCCGAGGAAGACGAACACCUUGAAGUACUCACCUUUGAUAUGGAAAAAACAUUGCUUCUUCCUUGUAUACCGACAAGUGUUGUCUUUUAUAAAAGACAGCUCUGGUAAUAUAAUUUGGUUAUCCACACAGGAAAAAAUAAUAAUAAAGGGCAUUGUUAUUUAUGGCUGGAAGGUAUGGCAGGUAGAGGGGCUCAGGAAGUGGGUUCCUGUUUACUUCGGCAUGUAAGAGAAAAUGCUGAUAUGGCUGCUUGUAAACAUCUGAUUUUAUGGUCAGAUAGCUGCGGUGGCCAAAAUCGCAACAUCAAAAUGGUUUUAUUCCUUAUGACAAUGUUUGAAGUUAAUCUUUCAUUAGAAAAGAUAACGUUGCGUUUUUUAACAUCUGGUCAUAAUUAUCUACCUAAUGACACAGAUUUUGGAGAUAUCGAAUGCGCAUUAAAACUACAACAAAGAUUGUAUACAGCUGAUGACUAUAUAAUGAUCAUGCCGCAAGAAAAAUCCACUUGUUGUCCAUAAAAUAGAAAAAGAACAUUUUUUUUCUACUACUAAAAUCGAAAAAAAUAUUGUUAAUCGAAAAGUAGAUGUGGCAAACAAUUAAAUAAAUUGACUUCAAUUUAAAGAAAUCGAAAUUCGAAAAGACAGUCCCUUCAGAAUAUUUGUUAAAACUUCUUUUAAGGAUGAAAUUCACCAGGAAAUUAAUAUAAAAAAAAGCGUGGAAGACCACAAAAUAAGGAAACUUUAAAAACCAACUUUAAAAAUCUACUUGAA
Long non-coding RNA from Anthonomus grandis grandis, 2206 nucleotides. RefSeq lists it as uncharacterized. The transcript is spliced from 4 exons. NCBI's taxonomy places the organism in Eukaryota, Metazoa, Arthropoda, Insecta, Coleoptera, Curculionidae. The record is from RefSeq and is a predicted model, not a curated record.